This 364-nucleotide ribosomal RNA is filed under the name uncultured Methanomicrobiales archaeon. RNAcentral's name for it is "bacterial SSU rRNA". It matches the Rfam family "Archaeal small subunit ribosomal RNA", at positions 975 to 1338 of the family's 1478-position model. Lineage: Archaea; Methanobacteriati; Methanobacteriota; Methanomicrobia; Methanomicrobiales. The record is from RNAcentral.
ACUAGCUGAGAGGAGGUGCAUGGCCGUCGUCAGUCGUUACUGUGAAGCAUCCUGUUAAGUCAGGCAACGAGCGAGACCCACGCCAACAGUUGCCAGCUCGUCCUCCGGGAUGGUGGGGACACUGUUGGGACCGCCUCUGCUAAAGAGGAGGAAGGAAUGGGCAACGGUAGGUCAGCAUGCCCCGAAUUAUCUGGGCUACACGCGGGCUACAAUGGGUGGGACAAUGGGUAUCGACACCGAAAGGUGAAGGCAAUCUCCUAAACCCAUCCGUAGUUCGGAUUGUGGGCUGCAACUCGCCCACAUGAAGCUGGAAUCUGUAGUAAUCGUGUCUCAAAAUGGCACGGUGAAUAUGUCCCUGCUCCUU